RNAcentral lists this ribosomal RNA (452 nucleotides) under uncultured Hydrogenophaga sp. RNAcentral describes it as "bacterial SSU rRNA". It matches the Rfam family "Bacterial small subunit ribosomal RNA", at positions 923 to 1382 of the family's 1533-position model. The record is from RNAcentral. Lineage: Bacteria; Pseudomonadati; Pseudomonadota; Betaproteobacteria; Burkholderiales; Comamonadaceae.
GCACAAGCGGUGGAUGAUGUGGUUAAUUCGAUGCAACGCGAAAACCUUACCCACCUUUGACAUGGCAGGAAGUUACCAGAGAUGGUUCGUGCUCGAAAGAGAACCUGCACACAGGUGCUGCAUGGCUGUCGUCAGCUCGUGUCGUGAGAUGUUGGGUUAAGUCCCGCAACGAGCGCAACCCUUGCCAUCAGUUGCUACGAAAGGGCACUCUGAUGGGACUGCCGGUGACAAACCGGAGGAAGGUGGGGAUGACGUCAAGUCCUCAUGGCCCUUAUAGGUGGGGCUACACACGUCAUACAAUGGCCGGUACAAAGGGCAGCCAACCCGCGAGGGGGAGCCAAUCCCAUAAAGCCGGUCGUAGUCCGGAUCGCAGUCUGCAACUCGACUGCGUGAAGUCGGAAUCGCUAGUAAUCGUGGAUCAGCAUGUCACGGUGAAUACGUUCCCGGGUCUU